RNAcentral lists this ribosomal RNA (253 nucleotides) under uncultured bacterium. RNAcentral describes it as "partial 16S ribosomal RNA". It matches the Rfam family "Bacterial small subunit ribosomal RNA", at positions 524 to 776 of the family's 1533-position model. The record is from RNAcentral.
UACGGGGGGGGCAAGCGUUGUUCGGAAUUACUGGGCGUAAAGGGCUCGUAGGUGGCCAACUAAGUCGGACGUGAAAUCCCUCAGCUUAACUGGGGAACUGCGUCCGAUACUGGAUGGCUUGAGUUUGGGAGAGGGAUGCGGAAUUCCAGGUGUAGCGGUGAAAUGCGCAGAUAUCAGGAAGAACACCUACGGCGAAGGCAGCUCUCUGGGACGGUACUGACGCUGAGACGCGAAAGCGUGGGGAGCGAACAGG